UUGUUGGUGAGGUAAAGGCUUACCAAGGCUUCGAUCAGUAGCUGGUCUGAGAGGACGACCAGCCACACUGGGACUGAGACACGGCCCAGACUCCUACGGGAGGCAGCAGUGGGGAAUUUUGGACAAUGGGGGAAACCCUGAUCCAGCCAUGCCGCGUGAGUGAAGAAGGCCUUCGGGUUGUAAAGCUCUUUCAGCCGGAACGAAACGGUUACGAUUAAUACCUGUAACUACUGACGGUACCGGAAGAAGAAGCACCGGCUAACUACGUGCCAGCAGCCGCGGUAAUACGUAGGGUGCGAGCGUUAAUCGGAAUUACUGGGCGUAAAGCGUGCGCAGGUGGUUUUGUAAGUCAGAUGUGAAAUCCCCGGGCUUAACCUGGGAACUGCGUUUGAAACUACAAGGCUAGAGUGUGGCAGAGGGGGGUGGAAUUCCGCGUGUAGCAGUGAAAUGCGUAGAGAUGUGGAGGAACACCGAUGGCGAAGGCAGCCCCCUGGGUCAACACUGACGCUCAGGCACGAAAGCAUGGGGAGCAAACAGGAUUAGAUACCCUGGUAGUCCAUGCCCUAAACGAUGUCAACUAGUUGUCGGGUCUUAACGGGCUUGGUAACGUAGCUAACGCGUGAAGUUGACCGCCUGGGGAGUACGAUCGCAAGAUUAAAACUCAAAGGAAUUGACGGGGACCCGCACAAGCGGUGGAUUAUGUGGAUUAAUUCGAUGCAACGCGAAAAACCUUACCUACCCUUGACAUGUAUUGGAGCCCGCAGAGAUGUGGGUGUGCCCGAAAGGGAACGAUAACACAGGUGCUGCAUGGCUGUCGUCAGCUCGUGCCGUGAGAUGUUGGGUUAAGUCCCGCAACGAGCGCAACCCUUGUCAUUAAUUGCCAUCAUUUAGUUGGGCACUUUAAUGAGACCGCCGG
Molecule: ribosomal RNA, 916 nt
Filed under: uncultured bacterium
Lineage: Bacteria
Description: bacterial SSU rRNA
Rfam family: Bacterial small subunit ribosomal RNA
Source: RNAcentral